GCAUAUAUAGUAUAUAAAAUACAUUAGAUUUAGAUUCUAAAGAAUUUAUUUAUGUU
Molecule: transfer RNA, 56 nt
Filed under: Oesophagostomum quadrispinulatum
Lineage: Eukaryota; Metazoa; Nematoda; Chromadorea; Rhabditida; Strongylidae
Description: transfer RNA-Leu
Source: RNAcentral